GCAGCAGACUAACAAGGAUUCCCCUAGUAACGGCGAGUGAAGCGGGAAUAGCUCAAAUUUGAAAUCUCACUGGUUUCCAGUGCGAAUUGUAGUUUAUAGAAACGUUUUCUGGGUUAACUUUUGGUACAAGUUCAUUGGAACAUGACAUCAUAGAGGGUGAAAAUCCCGUCUUUGACCAUUAGUUUAAUUCAAUGUGAUACGUUUUCUACGAGUCGGUUUGUUUGGGAAUGCAGACCAAAAUGGGUGGUAAAUACCAUCUAAAGCUAAAUAUUGGCGAGAGACCGAUAGCGAACAAGUACCGUGAGGGAAAGAUGAAAAGAACUUUGAAAAGAGAGUUAAAUAGUACGUGAAAUUGUCAAAAGGGAAACGUUUGAAACCAGUAUUGUGAAUAAUAAUUCAAUUAAUCUUUUGAUUAAUGCACUUUAUUAUUUACGAGUCAACAUCAGUUUGAAAUUGAAUAAAAAGUUAUAGUAAGGUAACCUUCGGGUAUUAUAGACUAUAAUCAUAUUCUUUUUUAGACUGAGGACUGCAGCUUUUGCUUAGGAUGUUGACGAAAUGGUUUUAAGCGACCCGUCUUGAAACACGGACCAAGGAGUCUAACAAAUAUGCGAGUAUUUGGGUGGUAAACCCUUAUGCGUAGUGAAAGCGAAAAGGUGGGAAUCUUUAUUGAUGCACCAUCGGCCGCGUUCAAUUAUUAUUAUUGUAACGUGAGUAUGAGCAUAUUUGCUGGGACCCGAAAGAUGGUGAACUAUGCCUGAAUAGGGUGAAGCCAGAGGAAACUCUGGUGGAGGCUCGUAGCGGUUCUGACGUGCAAAUCGAUCGUCAAAUUUGGGUAUAGGGGCGAAAGACUAAUCGACCUCU
This 861-nucleotide ribosomal RNA is filed under the name Rhizophydiales sp. ARG031. RNAcentral's name for it is "eukaryotic LSU rRNA". It matches the Rfam family "Eukaryotic large subunit ribosomal RNA", at positions 55 to 945 of the family's 3401-position model. Lineage: Eukaryota; Fungi; Chytridiomycota; Chytridiomycetes; Rhizophydiales. The record is from RNAcentral.